UUAAAGUACCAAAAAUAUCUUUAGCAGUGACCAAAUUAAGUCAAAAAAAAAAAUGGCAACUCCUGAAGAAAACAUCGCAGCUGCAGCUCCGGCACCGGCGGCAGAACCACCAGCGGAGGAAGCUUUAGCGGCCGCCGGUGUUGACACAGCGACCAAAGAGGUUGAAACGCCGAAGGAAGUCAAGGAGGAGAAGAAAGGAGGAGCACAGGAUCUCAAGUCAACCCUUUUGAUUUCAGGGGCUGUAGUAGCUGUGGUUGGAGCAGUUCUAGCUAUUGUUAAGAAGGUGAAAGAGUCAGCUAAUUGAAUGUAGAUCCUUUGUAUCGCAAACUUCAUAUUUCCAUUCGCAACUUCAUUUUGUACAUUUUCCCCCCUUUUUGUAAGACGAGCCUAAACUCUCUCUCAGCCUUGAAGGGAAAUCAAUAAAUUUCAUAUGCUUUAAUUAUAA
Molecule: long non-coding RNA, 445 nt
Organism: Nicotiana attenuata
Lineage: Eukaryota; Viridiplantae; Streptophyta; Magnoliopsida; Solanales; Solanaceae
Exons: 2
Source: RefSeq, a predicted model, not a curated record